This 303-nucleotide ribosomal RNA is filed under the name uncultured bacterium. RNAcentral's name for it is "partial 16S ribosomal RNA". It matches the Rfam family "Bacterial small subunit ribosomal RNA", at positions 507 to 807 of the family's 1533-position model. The record is from RNAcentral.
AGCAGUCGCCGCGGGAAUACGUAGGGUGCAAGCGUUAAUCGGAAUUACUGGGCGUAAAGCGUGCGCAGGCGGUUAUAUAAGACAGAUGUGAAAUCCCCGGGCUCAACCUGGGAACUGCAUUUGUGACUGUAUAGCUAGAGUACGGCAGAGGGGGAUGGAAUUCCGCGUGUAGCAGUGAAAUGCGUAGAUAUGCGGAGGAACACCGAUGGCGAAGGCAAUCCCCUGGGCCUGUACUGACGCUCAUGCACGAAAGCGUGGGGAGCAAACAGGAUUAGAUACCCCGGUAGUCCCUGUCUCUUAUAC